This 422-nucleotide ribosomal RNA is filed under the name uncultured Sphingobacteriales bacterium. RNAcentral describes it as "bacterial SSU rRNA". It matches the Rfam family "Bacterial small subunit ribosomal RNA", at positions 959 to 1382 of the family's 1533-position model. Lineage: Bacteria; Pseudomonadati; Bacteroidota; Sphingobacteriia; Sphingobacteriales. The record is from RNAcentral.
ACGCGUAGGAACCUUACCUGGGCUUAAAUGUAGAGUGCAUUUUUUAGAGAUAGAAAUUCCCUUCGGGGCUUUCUGCAAGGUGCUGCAUGGUUGUCGUCAGCUCGUGCCGUGAGGUGUCGGGUUAAGUCCCAUAACGAGCGCAACCCUUAUCGUUAGUUGCCAGCUGGUAAAGCAGGGGACUCUAGCGAAACUGCCACCGUAAGGUGAGAGGAAGUGGGAUGACGUCAAAUCAGCACGGCCCUUAUGUCCAGGGCUACACACGUGUUACAAUGGCCGGCACAGAGGGCAGCUACCUGGUGACAGGAUGCUAAUCUCGAAAACCGGUCUCAGUUCGGAUCGAAGUCUGCAACUCGACUUCGUGAAGCUGGAUUCGCUAGUAAUCGCGCAUCAGCCAUGGCGCGGUGAAUACGUUCCCGGGCCUU